RNAcentral lists this ribosomal RNA (288 nucleotides) under uncultured bacterium. RNAcentral's name for it is "partial 16S ribosomal RNA". It matches the Rfam family "Bacterial small subunit ribosomal RNA", at positions 773 to 1060 of the family's 1533-position model. The record is from RNAcentral.
GUGGAUUAGUUACCCCGGUAGUCCACGCUAUAAACGAUGAGAGCUGGGUGUUGGUGGGAUUUCCCAUCAGUGCCGAAGCAAACGCGUUAAGCUCUCCGCCUGGGGACUACGAACGCAAGUUUAAAACUCAAAGGAAUUGACGGGGGCCCGCACAAGCAGCGGAGCGUGUGGUUCAAUUCGAUGCGACACGAAGAACCUUACCAGGGUUUGACAUGCAAGUGGUAGGGAAGGGAAACCGGACCGACCCGCAAGGGAGCUUGUACAGGUGCUGCACGGCCGUCGCCAGCU